This is a non-coding RNA of Oryza glaberrima (African rice), 195 nucleotides long. Lineage: Eukaryota; Viridiplantae; Streptophyta; Magnoliopsida; Poales; Poaceae. The record is from Rfam.
UUUAAGGGCAGCCAUGAGUUUCCGUGUCUAAGUUUGAUCGUUCGUUUUAUUUGAAAUUUUUUAGUAUUUUUGUUGUUAUUAGAUGAUAAAACAUGAAUAAUACUUUAUCUGUGACUUAUGUUAUUUAAUUUUUUUAAAAAAUUAAAUAAGACGAACAAUUAAAAUUGAAUACGGAAACUCAUAGCUAUGUUUAAA